RNAcentral lists this ribosomal RNA (1470 nucleotides) under uncultured Bordetella sp. Its description in RNAcentral is "partial 16S-23S ribosomal RNA intergenic spacer". It matches the Rfam family "Bacterial small subunit ribosomal RNA". Lineage: Bacteria; Pseudomonadati; Pseudomonadota; Betaproteobacteria; Burkholderiales; Alcaligenaceae. The record is from RNAcentral.
AACAGUCAAUAGGAAGUUCAAUUAUAACAAGGUGAACAUAUGGCGGGAUACUUUACAUGCAAGUCGAACGGCAGCACGGGCUUCGGUCUGGUGGCGGUGGCGGCGAACAGGCGAGUAAUGUAUCGGAACGUGCCUAGUAGCGGGGGAUAACUACGCGGCCAGCCAGCUAAUACCGCAUACGCCCUUCGAGGAAAGCGGGGGACCUUCGGGCCUCGCACUAUUAAACGGCCGAUAUCGGAUUCUAGCUAGUUGGUGGGGUAACGGCUCACCGGGCGACGAUCCGUAGCUGGUUUGAGAGGACGACCAGCCACUGGGACUGAGACACGGCUUGAACUCCUACGGGAGGCAGCAGUGGGGAAUUUUGGACAAUGGGGGGGAAACCUGAUCCAGCCAUCCCGCGUGUGCGAUGAAGGCCUUCGGGUUGUAAGCACUUUUAGCAGGAAAAAAACGGCACGGGAUAAUACCCCGUGCAACUGACGGCUCCUGCAGAAUAAGCACCGGCUAACUACGUGUCAGCAGCCGCGGUAAUACGUAGGGUGCAAGCGUUAAUCGGAAUUACUGGGCGUAAAGCGUGCGCAGGCGGUUCGGAAAGAAAGAUGUGAAAUCAGAGCUUAACUUUGGAACUGCGUUUUUUUAACUACCGAGCUAGAGUGUCAGAGGAGGUGGAAUUCCGCGAUAACAGUGAAAUGCGUAGAUAUGCGGAGGAACACCGAUGGCGAAGGCAGCCUCCUGGGAUAACACUGGCAGCUCAUGCACAGCGUGGGGAACAACAGGAUUGAUCACCACAGUGGUCUUGCCUAAACGAUGUCAACUAGCUGUUGAGGCCUUCGGGCAUGGUAGCGCAGCUAACGCGUGAAGUUGACCGCCUGGGGAUACGGUCGCAAGAUUAAAACUCAAAGGAAUUGACGGGGACCCGCACAAGCGGUGGAUGAUGUGGAUUAAUUCGAUGCAACGCGAAAAACCUUACCUACCCUUGACAUGUCUGGAGUCCCGAAGGGCAGGAGUGCUGCAAGAGAACCGGAACACGGGUGCUGCAUGGCUGUCGUCAGCUCGUGUCGUGAGAUGUUGGGUUAAGUCCCGCAACGAGCGCAACCCUUGUCGUGGUUGCCCGAGGGCGCGCUCGUGGACGCCGGUGACCAGCCGGAGGAAGGUGGGGAUGACGUCAAGUCUCAUGGCCCUUAUAGGUCAGGGCUUCACACGUCAUACAAUGGUCGGGACGAGAGGAGGGUCGCCAACCGCGGGAGACCAAUCGAAACGAUCGUAGUCCGGAUCGCAGUCUACAACUCGACUGCGUGAAGUCGGAAUCGCUAGUAAUCGCGGAUCAGCAUGUCGCGGUGAAUACGUUCCCAGGUCUUGUACACACCGCCCGUCACACCAUGGGAGUGGGUUUUACCGAAGUAGUUAGCCUAACCGUAAGGAGGCGAUUACCACGACCAAGUUCAUGACUGGGGUGAAGUCGUAACAAGGUAG